GACGAACCGUCCAAACGUUAUUCGGUAUCACUGGGCUUAAAGCGUGCGUAGGCGGCCAGGUAGGUGAGAUGUGAAAGCCCACGGCUCAACCGUGGAAUUGCGUUUCAAACCAUCUGGCUUGAGGGAGACAGGGGUGUUGGGAACUUAUGGUGGAGCGGUGAAAUGCGUUGAUAUCAUAGGGAACACCGGUGGCGAAGGCGCAACACUGGGUCUCUUCUGACGCUCAGGCACGAAAGCUAGGGUAGCGAAAGGG
This 253-nucleotide unclassified non-coding RNA is filed under the name uncultured Pirellulaceae bacterium. Its description in RNAcentral is "contains 16S-23S intergenic spacer region". It matches the Rfam family "Bacterial small subunit ribosomal RNA", at positions 524 to 776 of the family's 1533-position model. The record is from RNAcentral. Lineage: Bacteria; Pseudomonadati; Planctomycetota; Planctomycetia; Pirellulales; Pirellulaceae.